CGCAGUGAAGAGGCCCAGGCGACUGUUUAGCAAAAACACAGGUCCCUGCCAAACCGAAAGGUGACGUAUAGGGGCUGACGCCUGCCCGGUGCUGGAAGGUUAAGGGGAGGAGUGAGAGCUCUGAACCGAAGCCCCAGUAAACGGCGGCCGUAACUAUAACGGUCCUAAGGUAGCGAAAUUCCUUGUCGGGUAAGUUCCGACCCGCACGAAAGGCGUAACGAUCUGGGCACUGUCUCAACGAGGGACUCGGUGAAAUUGAUAUACCCGUGAAGAAGCGGGUUACUUGCGAUAGGACAGAAAGACCCCGUAGAGCUUUACUGUAGCCUGACAUUGGAUUUUGGUGUGUUUUGUACAGGAUAGGUGGGAGACGU
This 371-nucleotide ribosomal RNA is filed under the name Heliobacterium chlorum. RNAcentral's name for it is "partial 23S ribosomal RNA". It matches the Rfam family "Bacterial large subunit ribosomal RNA", at positions 1778 to 2157 of the family's 2925-position model. Lineage: Bacteria; Bacillati; Bacillota; Clostridia; Eubacteriales; Heliobacteriaceae. The record is from RNAcentral.